CCUACGGGAGGCAGCAGUAGGGAAUCUUCCGCAAUGGACGAAAGUCUGACGGAGCAACGCCGCGUGAACGAUGAAGGCCUUCGGGUCGUAAAGUUCUGUUGUCAGGGAAGAACAAGUACCGGAGUAACUGCCGGUACCUUGACGGUACCUGACCAGAAAGCCACGGCUAACUACGUGCCAGCAGCCGCGGUAAUACGUAGGUGGCAAGCGUUGUCCGGAAUUAUUGGGCGUAAAGCGCGCGCAGGCGGUCCUUUAAGUCUGAUGUGAAAGCCCACGGCUCAACCGUGGAGGGUCAUUGGAAACUGGGGGACUUGAGUGCAGAAGAGGAGAGUGGAAUUCCACGUGUAGCGGUGAAAUGCGUAGAGAUGUGGAGGAACACCAGUGGCGAAGGCGACUCUCUGGUCUGUAACUGACGCUGAGGCGCGAAAGCGUGGGGAGCAAACAGGAUUAGAUACCCUGGUAGUCCACGCCGUAAACGAUGAGUGCUAGGUGUUAGAGGGUUUCCGCCCUUUAGUGCUGCAGCUAACGCAUUAAGCACUCCGCCUGGGGAGUACGGCCGCAAGGCUGAAACUCAAAGGAAUUGACGG
Molecule: ribosomal RNA, 587 nt
Filed under: uncultured bacterium
Lineage: Bacteria
Description: bacterial SSU rRNA
Rfam family: Bacterial small subunit ribosomal RNA
Source: RNAcentral